UACGGAGGGUGCAAGCGUUAUCCGGAUUCACUGGGUUUAAAGGGUGCGUAGGCGGGCUUGUAAGUCAGUGGUGAAAGCCCGGAGCUUAACUCCGGAACUGCCAUUGAUACUGCAGGUCUUGAGUACACUUGAGGUGGGCGGAAUACAUCAUGUAGUGGUGAAAUACUUAGAUAUGAUGUAGAACACCGAUUGCGAAGGCAGCUCACUAAAUUGAAACUGACGCUGAGGCACGAAAGCGUGGGGAGCAAACAGG
This 253-nucleotide ribosomal RNA is filed under the name uncultured bacterium. RNAcentral describes it as "partial 16S ribosomal RNA". It matches the Rfam family "Bacterial small subunit ribosomal RNA", at positions 524 to 776 of the family's 1533-position model. The record is from RNAcentral.